Long non-coding RNA from Cyprinus carpio carpio, 1514 nucleotides. Lineage: Eukaryota; Metazoa; Chordata; Actinopteri; Cypriniformes; Cyprinidae. The record is from Ensembl.
UGGCCUGACCCAAGGAUUCAGAGGAAAAAAGAAUUUUCAUUUUGUGGCUUACGGUUAAAAAGUUAUUAGCAUAAAAAUAUUGAAACUUUGGACAAGUGGUGGCGCUAGAGAGUAGACGAUAGAGACUUCAAAUUUGGUAUAGUUAAUGCUGGGACUGUCCUCUAUCAGUGUGCCAAAUUAUACAACUUUCCCGCAAUCGGUUCUAUGGGCUGCCAUAGACUUGCGGCGGAAGAAGAAGAAGAAGAAGAAGAAGAAGAAGAAGAAGAAGAAGAAGAAGAAGAAGAAUAAUAACGCCAACGGAUACAAUAGGUGCCUACGCACCUUCGGUGCUUGGCCCCUAAUAAUAACGCCAACGAUUUCAAUAGGUGCCUACGCACCUUCGGUGCUUGGCCCCUAAUAAAUAUAGCUGCAAGCAGCAAUUACGGGGCCAAGCACUACAGGAGCAAGCUUCAGACAAACGGCGGGAAUGAGUAAUUAAAACCGUUUUAAGAUUAUUUUAAGCAAAAUGGCUUGAAAACAAUAAAGACAACAACUUGUAAUAGUAUUUAUUGGCAUAUCAUAUUUGACCAGUAGGUGGCGCUGUUACUAAAUUAGUGUGGAAUGGUCAGUGUGACGUGACUAUUGCACAUACAAAAUAUGGUGUCAGUAUGUCAAAGAUUUGAAGAGAUAUAGCCUUGGAGUCAUUUUGACACAGUGCUUAAAGUUUAUAGCGGCGCUGUACGAAAACGGUUGCUUCUAUCGACACGAAAUCCAUAAUGUUUUGUCAGCACAGUCUGAAGAUGACUUUAUUCGAUUUUGGUGAAAAUCGGACCAAAGGUUGAUGAGGAGAGCAAAAAAGUAGGUUUUCAACAUAAAUCAAAAUAGCCGACAGAAAGUUCGGCUUAUUAUGACAUACUUGAUAUGUAUGUUGUUGGCAUGACCCAAGAAAUAUUUUGAGAUCAGUUUCAUUACAAUAGGUCAAUGCAAUCAAAAGUUAUGAAUUUUUCAAAAAUGCUAAUAAUUAAGAAUUAAUGAAUGUUUAUUACUCCGGACCAAUAGGUGGCGCUGUUACCAAAUUGAUGUGGCGUGAUCAAUUUGUGGUGACAAUGGUUCAUGCAACGUUUGGUGUAAAUAUGUCAAAUCUGUGCAGAGAUACAGCCUCAGAUACAUUUUGGCAUCCUUCCAACAAAUUCGUUGGUGCGCUAAACGAAAACCAUUUCGUAUAUCGACACGAAAUCCAUAACUUUUUGCCAGCAUCGUCUGAAGAUGAUCUGAGUCACAUUUGGUGAAAAUUGGACUAACGGUCUAGGAGGAGUUUGAAAAAUUAGGUUUUCAACAUGAAUCAAAAUGGCGGACAGGAAGUUUGGCCAAUUUUGUCAUAAUUGGUAUCGAUGUUCUCGGCAUGAUCCAAAGAAUUUAGGGAGACCACUUUCAUUCCAAUAGUCCAAUGUAUUCAAACUUUAUUAGCAUUUAUUGUAAAUUUCUUUAUAACUUUUGACCACAAGGUGGCGCUGUGCCCAAAGUUUUUGAGUACC